UACGAAGGGGGCGAGCGUUGUUCGGAUUUACUGGGCGUAAAGGGCGCGCAGGCGGCUUUGUUUGUCAGGCGUGAAAGCCCCGGGCUUAACCUGGGAACUGCGUUUGAUACGGCAGGGCUAGAGUUCGGGAGAGGAGAGUGGAAUUCCCAGUGUAGAGGUGAAAUUCGUAGAUAUUGGGAAGAACACCAAUGGCGAAGGCAGCUCUCUGGACCGUUACUGACGCUGAGGUGCGAAAGCGUGGGGAGCAAACAG
Molecule: ribosomal RNA, 252 nt
Filed under: uncultured bacterium
Lineage: Bacteria
Description: partial 16S ribosomal RNA
Rfam family: Bacterial small subunit ribosomal RNA
Source: RNAcentral